AGAGCGAACGCUGGCGGCAGGCCUAACACAUGCAAGUCGAGCGCCCGUAGCAAUACGGGAGCGGCAGACGGGAGAGUAACACGUGGGAACGCGCCCUUCGGUUCGGAAUAACUCAGGGAAACUUGAGCUAAUACCGGAUACGCCCUUACGGGGAAAGAUUUAUUGCCGAAGGAACGGCCCGCGUCCGAUUAGCUUGUUGGUGAGGUAAUGGCUCACCAAGGCGACGAUCGGUAGCUGGUCUGAGAGGAUGACCAGCCUCACUGGGACUGAGACACGGCCCAGACUCCUACGGGAGGCAGCAGUGGGGAAUAUUGGACAAUGGCGCAAGCCUGAUCCAGCCAUGCCGCGUGGAUGAUGAAGGCCCUAGGGUUGUAAAGUCCUUUUAACGGGAAGAUAAUGACGGUACCGUAGAAUAAGCCCGGCUAACUCGUGCCAGCAGCCGC
RNAcentral lists this ribosomal RNA (443 nucleotides) under uncultured bacterium. RNAcentral describes it as "SSU rRNA". It matches the Rfam family "Bacterial small subunit ribosomal RNA", at positions 26 to 518 of the family's 1533-position model. The record is from RNAcentral.